This 454-nucleotide ribosomal RNA is filed under the name uncultured bacterium. RNAcentral describes it as "bacterial SSU rRNA". It matches the Rfam family "Bacterial small subunit ribosomal RNA", at positions 340 to 786 of the family's 1533-position model. The record is from RNAcentral.
UACGGGAGGCAGCAGUGGGGAAUAUUGCACAAUGGGCGCAAGCCUGAUGCAGCCAUGCCGCGUGUAUGAAGAAGGCCUUCGGGUUGUAAAGUACUUUCAGUCGUGAGGAAGGUGUUAAGGUUAAUAACCUUAGCAAUUGACGUUAGCGACAGAAGAAGCACCGGCUAACUCCGUGCCAGCAGCCGCGGUAAUACGGAGGGUGCGAGCGUUAAUCGGAAUUACUGGGCGUAAAGGGCACGCAGGCGGUUAAUUAAGUUGGAUGUGAAAUCCCCGGGCUUAACCUGGGAAUGGCAUUCAAGACUGGUUAGCUAGAGUCUUGUAGAGGGGGUAGAAUUCCAUGUGUAGCGGUGAAAUGCGUAGAGAUGUGGAGGAAAUACCGGUGGCGAAGGCGGCCCCUGGACAAAGACUGACGCUCAUGUGCGAAAAGCGUGGGGAGCAAACAGGAUUAGAUACC